Aethalodelphis obliquidens (Pacific white-sided dolphin) is the source of this 3558-nucleotide long non-coding RNA. RefSeq lists it as uncharacterized. NCBI's taxonomy places the organism in Eukaryota, Metazoa, Chordata, Mammalia, Artiodactyla, Delphinidae. The record is from RefSeq and is a predicted model, not a curated record. The transcript has 4 exons.
CCAUGCAUAUAUAUACUUGACUCUGUUGCAACAAAUGCUGUUAUUGGCAAAGCCACUUUGAUAUAGACAAGACUCUUCACUCUUUUAUUCUUUCCGAGAUUUUUCUCUCUGGGGUGUGUAUGUCAGAGGCCUGAAAUGAAAGUGAAAGUAGACUUACUUCUUUCCGCAUUUCUGUCUCUUCUUCCUUCCCUCUUUUCAACCCAAUCACCAAAUAUUUAUGUUCUGAGCACUGGGCUAGGUGCCAGGGAACAAGAGAUGAGUAAGAUACAGUCCCUGAUCAAGGGCUUUCCCAUCUAGUGGGAAAGACAGAAUAAAUAAAUACAAGAAAUAAAGUGUUGUAGGCUCUCUGAUAAAAGUAUGUACCUCUAGGGAAAAGGUAAGAAGCAGUUAUAUGUAGGAGGAUCUGACAAGUUUACAGGUAAAAUGAUGGUUGCAAUGAUUAUGAGCUUGUACUUGCCAAGUAGACGAAGUGAGAAGAGUGUUCCAGAAAAAAGCAGCAGCCCAAGAAAAGUAAAGAGAAUCAAAAUGAUAAGUGAAUGCAGGAUGGUUUAGAUAGUUUUGGUGUGGCUGGAGUAUGAGGUGAAUGUGGGCAUAGUAAAGAGAGAGACACCAAAGAGAUAGACUGAGAUGGUUUUGAAUAGCUUUGACAUUUUAGAAAUCUGGAGUUUGUGCUAAAGAGAAAAGAAACCUAUAGAAGGAUUUCUUGUUUAUUUUAGUGAUAUCCUUCUUGCAGCCAAGUGGAAGACAGUUUGCAGAGAGGCCCAUGCAGAAGGAAGGGUGAGGAGGGAGACUUUCAAUAAUUCAAGCAAAGGUGAAGAUCUAGACUAAGGCAGUAGCUAAAGCAAUAGAGAUAGAGGAAUAAGUGCAAAAUGAAGAUUAUUUAAACAGGCUUUAUCAGUAUCAACUUAGUGGAAAGCAAAGGGGCUAUCAGGAAUUGUUUUUUCCUGUGUCCACCAAGAGUAGAAGGCAAGUAGCCUGAAUUCUCUACUUUUUAAAUAAUAAUUGGUUGUGGUUCAGUGAUCACUUCUUUAUAUAAAAGACAAGAAAAUAUUUUCUCUGUAAUUUCUCUAUAUGGCAGGGUGUCUUUAGGUGGUUUUUCUUUCUCUCUCUCUCUCUCUCUUUCUGUUACUUUUUCUUGUUGCUGUUCGUAUCUUACAGAGUUCAUGCUGGCAGAGGGAGUUUGGGCUAAUUUGGAAAAAAAAAAGAAUUGACUUCUUUGUAUAUAUAUUCAUUCACUCAACAUCUACAUAGCAUCUGCACUGUGUCCCUGGGGAUAUGAAAAUAAAAUGAUCUGAUCCAUGGCCUUGACUUAAAGACUUUACACAUAAUGGAGAGAACAUAUAGGAACUGCUACUGAAUAAUAAUAAAAUAACCUCCAUAAUGGAGGUAUGUAUGAACUGCAGAGGAACACAGGAGAAAGUAAAUGCUUGAGGCCAGAAUUGAAAAAUGAAUAGUUUGCCGUGGGGAGGGGAAGCCAGACAGAAUGAAGACAUCUUAUAUUCAAGAUUUCAGACAAAUAAGUGAAGUAAGAACAAAUGUUUCAGAAUGACCUGGGGGAAAAUGGUAAGAGAUGAAGCCACUUAAAGUAGGUAGGCAGGAGCCAGGUUAUGGAGGGCUCUUCAAGACAAAAUAUUCAAGAGUUAUGACGUGAUCAGAACUGCAUGUGCAGAGAAAAGAAAAGAACUAGCAUGAGUCAGGUAUGUGCUAGCACUGUGAUGAGUGCCGUAGGUAGAGUAUCUCAGGCUGAUGAGUGAGAAGAACAGAGUUUUGAAACUAAACAAACCUGAGUUCAGAUCCUAGAUUUUCUUAAUUUUAAGAGUUCAAGUUCUUCAAAUAUCUAUCCUCUUCAAAAUGUUUAACAUGUAAUUUGUAUAGUUAUUAUAAAGAACAGAUGUUAGCUGUAAAGUGUAUAACAUAUAGAUGUAAUUAUAUUAUUACUACCAAGAAACACUGUUAGAGUUGAAAUUCAAACCCAUGCUUGAUUCCAAAGAAUACAUAUGACACAAGCCUUACUGAAUCAGAAUGUUGCAGCUCCUUGGACUGCUUGGUUGAGCAGUGGGUAUAUAACUCAUUCCGAGUCACCAGUUACCCUUGAGAAUUAUAUGGGAGACAAGGUCUAUUUUUCUGAUAGAUUUAGAGCAAGGAGAAUGUGAACCUAGAAAUCCUUGUCAUCUUUUGCCACCAUGAAGCAUGAACUGGCCAGGAAGUCAAGCCAGAAUCGAGGGAGACAGAGUCAAGAAAGUGAUAGUAAGUCCUGGUUCAGUUGGAUGAACCGAAGUUAAAUGAAGUUAGCUCUGACUAUGAUUUUUUUUUGUUUUUAGGUAAAGGAGCUAAGUAAUAAUAACAACCACAAUAAUAAAACUAACUUUUGGCUUAACUCAGCAUGAAUUGAGUUUUCAGUCACCUGUAUGCAAGAAUACUGAAUAAUAAAAUUGGAAUUAGCAACAUAGAAGCUGCCUUUGGAACAGAAAUACUGUAGGGGUGGGAAGGACUGUAAUCAAUAAGGGAAAGGACUAAAUAUUCGAAAGUAGAGACAGUUCAUGUAGAUCGCUUGUUCUAGAAGCUGAGCUAUUAAAAAAAAAAACUUUUUUAAAGGAGAUGGUGCGGUAGGUGGAUUUUAGGCAGAGAUGAGGAAGUCUUCAUUCCUAAGAUGGGAGAGCCUUGAGCAUGUUUGUAGAUUAGGGAAAGAUGCCAGUGGAAAGGAAAAGGUUGACAGUGCUGAGAAGAGAAGGGGUAAUUAAUGGAGGAAAGUCCAGGCAGAGACAGGGUAUGAUGAAUAUUUCUAUUGCCAUGAAAUCUCUAGUAAGGUCUAGUGUCUGCUCAGAUGGUAAAUUCUACUAAAUAUGUGCAAUUUUUUAUUAAAAAAACAUUUUUUUACUUCUUCAGCAUGUCUAACUGUAUUUUUUAUGUCUUCUCUAAUCUCUCCUACUUUCCUAAAUCCUAUGACGUCUUAGAACGCCCCACUCUCCCACUAAAAACAAACAUGCAAAUAAACAGAACUAAAAAGUCCCUAUUCAGACCGGUGGAGAUUUUCACAGCCAAAGAAUACUUCAGGGUAACUGAAGCAAUCUCAGAAGAGUCAUUUGGAGAAUAACCUUGACACUAGGUUACUGUGGAAUUGAAGUUUCCACAAACUGUUAACAUCUCCGCCGUGUGACUAGAAUGAUGUCAGUAGAUCCAGUGGUUGAGGCCGACCGUGAACAGCGAAGGGAUGUCCUCUAAUCGCAGUGGAAGUGACGGGCUCGUUUGGCUUUGACUUUUAAAAAUUGCCAGAGAAGAGUGUUCUUUGUCUCCUGCUGCUUGAAAGGAGCUGGAAGCUGUAGUGUCCUGCCCUGAAGAGCUUUUUCUGAAUGUGAUUUUUUCUGUCUCUGUCUUCAGAGUUGACCACGCAGAAAUCUAAUAAAGAAUGUCAAAGUGCUGCCUCCACGAUAUGUGCACAAAGAAGAGGUCAUGUGACACACACAGUGAGAUGGUGGCUAGCUGCGGGCCAAGAGAGGAGGACUGAGAAUAAAACCUACCUUGCUGUCACCUUGAUCUUGGACUUUCCAGCCUCCAGAA